UACGUAGGGGGCAAGCGUUGUCCGGAUUUAUUGGGCGUAAAGAGCGUGUAGGCGGCCAUGUAGGUCCGUUGUGAAAACUCGAGGCUCAACCUCGAGACGCCGAUGGAAACCAUGUGGCUAGAGUCCGGAAGAGGAGAGUGGAAUUCCCGGUGUAGCGGUGAAAUGCGCAGAUAUCGGGAAGAACACCCGUGGCGAAGGCGGCUCUCUGGGACGGUACUGACGCUGAGACGCGAAAGCGUGGGGAGCGAACAGG
Molecule: ribosomal RNA, 253 nt
Filed under: uncultured bacterium
Lineage: Bacteria
Description: partial 16S ribosomal RNA
Rfam family: Bacterial small subunit ribosomal RNA
Source: RNAcentral